This 447-nucleotide ribosomal RNA is filed under the name uncultured bacterium. RNAcentral describes it as "bacterial SSU rRNA". It matches the Rfam family "Bacterial small subunit ribosomal RNA", at positions 329 to 793 of the family's 1533-position model. The record is from RNAcentral.
UACCAGACUCCUACGGGAGGCAGCAGUGGGGAAUAUUGCACAAUGGGGGAAACCCUGAUGCAGCGACGCCGCGUGAGCGAUGAAGUAUUUCGGUAUGUAAAGCUCUAUCAGCAGGGAAAAAGAUGACGGUACCUGACUAAGAAGCCCCGGCUAACUACGUGCCAGCAGCCGCGGUAAUACGUAGGGGGCAAGCGUUAUCCGGAUUUACUGGGUGUAAAGGGAGCGUAGACGGCGGCGCAAGCCAGAUGUGAAAGCCCGGGGCUCAACUCCGGGACUGCAUUUGGAACUGUGUGGCUGGAGUGUCGGAGAGGCAGGCGGAAUUCCUAGUGUAGCGGUGAAAUGCGUAGAUAUUAGGAGGAACACCAGUGGCGAAGGCGGCCUGCUGGACGAUGACUGACGUUGAGGCUCGAAAGCGUGGGGAGCAAACAGGAUUAGAUACCCGCGUAC